UACGAAGGGGGCUAGCGUUGUUCGGAAUUACUGGGCGUAAAGCGCGCGCAGGCGGUCUUCCAAGUCAGUGGUGAAAGCCCGGAGCUCAACUCCGGAACUGCCAUUGAAACUGUGAGACUGGAGUACGAGAGAGGUGAGUGGAAUUCCCAGUGUAGAGGUGAAAUUCGUAGAUAUUGGGAAGAACACCGGUGGCGAAGGCGGCUCACUGGCUCGUAACUGACGCUCAGGCGCGACAGCGUGGGGACCAAACAGG
RNAcentral lists this ribosomal RNA (253 nucleotides) under uncultured bacterium. RNAcentral's name for it is "partial 16S ribosomal RNA". It matches the Rfam family "Bacterial small subunit ribosomal RNA", at positions 524 to 776 of the family's 1533-position model. The record is from RNAcentral.